CCUACGGGCGGCAGCAGUCGAGAAUCAUUCACAAUGGGGGAAACCCUGAUGCUGCGACGCCGCGUGGGGGAAUGAAGUUCUUCGGAUUUUAAACCCCUGUCAUGGGGGAGCAAAUUAAAAAGAUAGUACCACAAGAGGAAGAGACGGCUAACUCUGUGCCAGCAGCCGCGGUAAUACAGAGGUCUCAAGCGUUGUUCGGAAUCACUGGGCGUAAAGCGCGCGUAGGCGGUUUCGUGAGUCGUGUGUGAAAGGCGCGGGCUUAACCCGAGGACGGCACAUGAUACUGGGAGACUAGAGUAAUGGAGGGGGAAGUGGAAUUCUCGGUGUAGCAGUGAAAUGCGUAGAUAUCGAGAGGAACACUCGUGGCGAAGGCGGCUUCCUGGACAUUAACUGACGCUGAGGCACGAAGGCGAGGGGAGCGAAAGGGAUUAGAUACCCUAGUAGUC
RNAcentral lists this ribosomal RNA (446 nucleotides) under uncultured bacterium. RNAcentral's name for it is "partial 16S ribosomal RNA". It matches the Rfam family "Bacterial small subunit ribosomal RNA", at positions 338 to 795 of the family's 1533-position model. The record is from RNAcentral.